RNAcentral lists this ribosomal RNA (576 nucleotides) under uncultured eukaryote. Its description in RNAcentral is "SSU rRNA". It matches the Rfam family "Eukaryotic small subunit ribosomal RNA", at positions 174 to 757 of the family's 1831-position model. The record is from RNAcentral.
UAAAAACCCCGACUUCGGAAGGGGUGUAUUUAUUAGAUACAAAACCAAUGCCCUUCGGGGCUCUUUGGUGAUUCAUGAUAACUAUACGAAUCGCACGGCCUUGCGCCGGCGAUGGUUCAUUCAAAUUUCUUCCCUAUCAACUUUCGAUGUUUGGGUAUUGGCCAAACAUGGUUGCAACGGGUAACGGAGGGUUAGGGCUCGACCCCGGAGAAGGAGCCUGAGAAACGGCUACUACAUCCAAGGAGGGCAGCAGGCGCGCAAAUUACCCAAUCCCGACUCGGGGAGGUAGUGACAAUAAAUACUGAUACAGGGCCCUUUCGGGCCUUGUAAUUGGAAUGAGUACAAUUUAAAUCCCUUAACGAGGAACAAUUGGAGGGCAAGUCUGGUGCCAGCAGCCGCGGUAAUUCCAGCUCCAAUAGCGUAUAUUAAAGUUGUUGUGGUUAAAAAGCUCGUAGUUGAACCUUGGGCCUGGCUGGCCGGUCCGCCUCACCGCGUGCACUGGUCCGGCCGGGCCUUUCCCUCUGUGGAACCCCAUACCCUUCACUGGGCGUGGCGGGGGAAACAGGACAUUUACUU